This 291-nucleotide ribosomal RNA is filed under the name uncultured Anaerococcus sp. Its description in RNAcentral is "partial 16S ribosomal RNA". It matches the Rfam family "Bacterial small subunit ribosomal RNA", at positions 505 to 796 of the family's 1533-position model. Lineage: Bacteria; Bacillati; Bacillota; Tissierellia; Tissierellales; Peptoniphilaceae. The record is from RNAcentral.
GUGUCAGCCGCCGCGGUAAUACGUAAGGACCGAGCGUUGUCCGGAAUCAUUGGGCGUAAAGGGUACGUAGGCGGGUCAUUAAGUUAGAAGUCAAAGGCUAUAGCUCAACUAUAGUAAGCUUCUAAAACUGGAGACCUUGAGUAAUGGAAGGGAAAGUGGAAUUCCUAGUGUAGCGGUGGAAUGCGCAGAUAUUAGGAGGAAUACCGGUGGCGAAGGCGACUUUCUGGCCAUUAACUGACGCUGAGGCGCGACAGCGUGGGGAGCGAACGGGAUUAGAAACCCGGGUAGUCC